AUGACAAAAUCAGAGUUGAGAAAUUUCUCCUUCAUUCCUCCUUCUCCAUCCAAACAAACACCAACCACACUCUUCCACAGCUUUUUUCUGAUCCACGACCACAAACCGUCGGAAACCACUUCAAACACUCACCUAAAAACUAUAAACAGCAGAAAGAGAAAAACGAAUAUCAACAACAUCCACGUAGAGAAAAACAAAUAUAGAACAAUGCAGAGAACAUCCUUCAAAGAAGAAUCAGAAAUAAUACCGAAAAUAAAGAACAGUUAG
Non-coding RNA from Vicia faba (fava bean), 267 nucleotides. NCBI's taxonomy places the organism in Eukaryota, Viridiplantae, Streptophyta, Magnoliopsida, Fabales, Fabaceae. The record is from the annotation of a GenBank genome assembly.